Molecule: ribosomal RNA, 365 nt
Filed under: uncultured eukaryote
Lineage: Eukaryota
Description: partial 18S ribosomal RNA
Rfam family: Eukaryotic small subunit ribosomal RNA
Source: RNAcentral
CCCUUUAGAUGUCCUGGGCUGCACGCGCGUUACACUGAAAAUAUCAACAAGUUUUUUUUUACAUCGCGCACGUCCAUUCGGGCGUGUGCAUUUUUUUCCUUGCCUUGACAGGUUGGGUAAACUUUGCAACCAUUUUCGUGCUGGGGAUUGGCGAUUGCAAUUUUUCGCCAUGAACGAGGAAUACCUAGUAAACGCAAGUCAUCAACUUGCAUUGACUUAGUCUCUGCCCUUUGUACACACCGCCCGUCGCUCCUACCGAUGAAUAGUCCGGUAAAACACUGGGACUGGACGCUCCUUGCUCUCGAGCGGGAUUGUCUGGAAACUUUUUUGAACCUUAUUAUUUAGAGGAAGGAGAAGUCGUAACA